GUAUUUGCUUCGGCAGCACAUAUACUAAAAUUGGAAUGAUACAGAGAAGUUUAGUAUGGCCCCUGCACAAGCAUGACAUGCAAAUUCGUGAAGCAUUCCCUAUUUUU
Nomascus leucogenys (northern white-cheeked gibbon) is the source of this 107-nucleotide small nuclear RNA. The record is from Ensembl. Lineage: Eukaryota; Metazoa; Chordata; Mammalia; Primates; Hylobatidae.